This is a small nucleolar RNA of Fukomys damarensis (Damara mole-rat), 67 nucleotides long. The record is from Ensembl. Lineage: Eukaryota; Metazoa; Chordata; Mammalia; Rodentia; Bathyergidae.
AUACCGUGAUGGUUGCAUAGUUCAGCAGAUAAAUCAUGAAGAGAUUUACCACCUGUCUGAUGUAUCU